CUCCGCGCAGCCGUGGGAUCUCGAGGAGGGCGUCCAUUAGGCCGCGUGUGACCAUGUGUGGCAGGCAGGCCUGAAAUGACCAAUUCAAAGUCCCUCUUGUUGCUACUGAAGCAUGUUUGAGACCUGCGAGGAGGAGGAGGCCUCUAUCAGAGCAAAGAAUUUGGAGCUGCUUCCAAUCUGAAACUUCCUUAGCGUUGUAAAAAGCACCCUUCAUUCGAAAUCGCUCAGUGCCUGGACUCAGAGAAAGUGGGAGAGUUACCAAGGCUCGGCCCCCAAGGCACAGUGAGAAGAAACUGAGGCAAUGCCAAGAACACCCCGACCUCAUGAGCUUCAAAGAAGCUGCUGCUGCAGUUCCCGGUUCUGAGGCACCUCCAAGACCACUCUCAUCCAAACUCUCAAAACACUCCCCUUGGGUGAGCUGUCCCUUAAAAGGAACAGGGCUGGGCCUUCACAAAGGCUCCUGUGAGACUUCUACCCCCUAUGGGUCUGGUAGCACCAAGGGAUUUCUCAUGCUAUGACCACAGACAUCAUCAAGAGGGUAGAGAGACCAAGUGGCCAGUGAAUUGGCACACAUGAAGAUUCUUUGUGAUCUGUAAAGAAAGUGUAAAAUCUGCAACAAACUGUGGAAUAAUCUGACAUAGGAAGAGGUGGAUGGUACAGAAGAACAAUAAAAUAAUAGCCAGCCUUUAUUGACUGGUUGCUUCAUGCCACUACUGCUCUGUGUGCUUUUACAUGUAUAAAAUGCGUAUUUGUCAUAAGACCCUUUGAAACGGCCCUACUGUCACUCCUAUUUUAUAGAUGAUGAAGCCCAGGACAGCACAAGGCUAGUGAG
Molecule: long non-coding RNA, 832 nt
Filed under: Homo sapiens (human)
Lineage: Eukaryota; Metazoa; Chordata; Mammalia; Primates; Hominidae
Description: non-protein coding lnc-CPO-4:2
Source: RNAcentral